This 159-nucleotide ribosomal RNA is filed under the name uncultured Dermocybe. Its description in RNAcentral is "partial 28S ribosomal RNA". It matches the Rfam family "Eukaryotic large subunit ribosomal RNA", at positions 1 to 156 of the family's 3401-position model. Lineage: Eukaryota; Fungi; Basidiomycota; Agaricomycetes; Agaricales; Cortinariaceae. The record is from RNAcentral.
GUGACCUCAAAUCAGGUAGGACUACCCGCUGAACUUAAGCAUAUCAAUAAGCGGAGGAAAAGAAACUAACAAGGAUUCCCCUAGUAACUGCGAGUGAAGCGGGAAAAGCUCAAAUUUAAAAUCUGGCAGUCUUUGGCUGUCCGAGUUGUAAUCUAGAGA